This 493-nucleotide ribosomal RNA is filed under the name uncultured bacterium. Its description in RNAcentral is "partial 16S ribosomal RNA". It matches the Rfam family "Bacterial small subunit ribosomal RNA", at positions 29 to 507 of the family's 1533-position model. The record is from RNAcentral.
ACGAACGCUGGCGGCGUGCUUAACACAUGCCAGUCGAACGGAAAGGCCUGCUUUCCCUUGUGGAUUGCGGGUACUCGAGUGGCGAACGGGUGAGUAACACGUGAGUGAUCUGCCCCCAACUUGGGUAUAAGCCUGGGAAACUGGGUCUAAUUCCCGAUAGGACUGCAGGGUGGUGCCUGUGGUGGAAAACGAUUUUCUAGUGGUUGGGGAUGAGCUCGCGGCCUAUCAGCUUGUUGGUGGGGUAAUGGCCUACCAAGGCGGCGACGGGUAGCCGGCCUGAGAGGGUGGACGGCCACAUUGGGACUGAGAUACGGCCCAGACUCCUACGGGGGGCAGCAGUGGGGAAUAUUGCACAAUGGGCGGAAGCCUGAUGCAGCGACGCCGCGUGGGGGAUGACGGCCUUCGGGUUGUAAACUCCUUUCGACCGCGAGGAAGCCACCUGGUUGGAAGGAUGGUGACGGUAGUGGUAGAAGAAGCACCGGCUAACUACGUG